Molecule: small nuclear RNA, 163 nt
Filed under: Canis lupus familiaris (dog)
Lineage: Eukaryota; Metazoa; Chordata; Mammalia; Carnivora; Canidae
Description: U4 spliceosomal RNA (ENSCAFG00040007422.1)
Rfam family: U4 spliceosomal RNA
About the family: U4 small nuclear RNA (U4 snRNA) is a component of the major U2-dependent spliceosome. The structure of U4 snRNA from yeast and human has been reported.
Source: RNAcentral
AGCUUUGUGCAGUGGCAGUAUCGUAGCCAAUGAGGUUUAUCCGAGGCACGAUUGUUGCUAAUUAAAAGUAUAGCAUUUUUAUCUUUUAAAGUGAGGCUAUGGGAAAAAAAAAAAAAGUGAGGCUAUGGAAAGUCUUCUAAAAUUAUUGUCCCCUUUCGCAAGG